GAGCAGAGUCACCAGCAGCAGUGGUGCCAGAAGAAACACACAGACACACACCGGCGGCAGACAAAGCCCUGUUUUAGGUUCUGUGCUACUUACCAGGAAUACUGACACGAAGAAACUUUGGAGUCCCUUUAUUAGAGCAGCUUCCACUCCAUUGAGAUAAAUGACAUGGAGAAAGAGCGAUAAACGUUAUGAAGAAGUAUUGACUAGUUACCGCGAGAGCACUGAGGAAAACUGUGGUGUGGUGAAAUCGUGGAAGCCUUCACAGAGCAGGUGGCCCUGCUGUUGCCUCUGGAGAUCUAUCUUGUUUCCACUCUGAGACUAAUCAGGGGUCUGACUAUACAACCAAAAGCCACUGUCCUUCCCUGAGCCUCCUCCCACAGCCCAGCUCCGAGAAGGCCAGCUUUAUCCCCAGUCUGAUAGUCUGGCAGACCAGGAAACUGGAGAGAGAUGGAGAGAUGGAGCGACUCCAUCUCUCAGUAAGCGACUAGAUGUCUGGUGUUAACCGGCUUAGCUCUGAUGACAGUGGGACAAAAUCCAGGCCAGCUCUGGGCCUGU
This is a long non-coding RNA of Artibeus jamaicensis (Jamaican fruit-eating bat), 555 nucleotides long. RefSeq lists it as uncharacterized. NCBI's taxonomy places the organism in Eukaryota, Metazoa, Chordata, Mammalia, Chiroptera, Phyllostomidae. The record is from RefSeq and is a predicted model, not a curated record. The transcript is spliced from 3 exons.